RNAcentral lists this non-coding RNA (29 nucleotides) under Mus musculus (house mouse). The record is from RNAcentral. Lineage: Eukaryota; Metazoa; Chordata; Mammalia; Rodentia; Muridae.
UAUGAGGUGAAGAGAAGAGCUGUUCUUUU